RNAcentral lists this ribosomal RNA (449 nucleotides) under uncultured bacterium. RNAcentral describes it as "partial 16S ribosomal RNA". It matches the Rfam family "Bacterial small subunit ribosomal RNA", at positions 29 to 523 of the family's 1533-position model. The record is from RNAcentral.
AACGAACGCUGGCGGCAUGCCUAACGCAUGCAAGUCGAACGAGAUCUUCGGGUCUAGUGGCGCACGGGUGCGUAACGCGUGGGAAUCUGCCCUUUGGUUCGGGAUAACAGUUGGAAACGACUGCUAAUACCGGAUGAUGACGAAAGUCCAAAGAUUUAUCGCCAGAGGAUGAGCCCGCGUAGGAUUAGCUAGUUGGUGUGGUAAAGGCGCACCAAGGCGACGAUCCUUAGCUGGUCUGAGAGGAUGAUCAGCCACACUGGGACUGAGACACGGCCCAGAGUCCUACGGGAGGCAGCAGUGGGGAAUAUUGGACAAUGGGCGAAAGCCUGAUCCAGCAAUGCCGCGUGAAUGAUGAAGGCCUUAGGGUUGUAAAGCUCUUUUACCCGGGAUGAUAAUGACAGUACCGGGAGAAUAAGCUCCGGCUAACUCCGUGCCAGCCGCCGCCGUAA